UUAUAUUUUAGAUAAUCUUGUUAUUCUGUAAUAAUUAUGCUACGAGGCGUAAUCGCAACAGUUGGAUAGAAGGACCAGUCAUUUAGCAUGUAAAGUCAACACACCGUUCCAAAUUCAACUCACAAGUUACAUAAUGCUAAUAGUAAUAUUAUUACUAUUAGUAAUAGUAUUAAAUGUAUAUAAUAUAGAUAAACCAAGCUUUCUCAGCUCACAGUUUCAGUUUCAAAUGGAUUUAUAAGUUAUUGUUUAAUAGCUAACCUCAGACCAACCAUGUCUAGUACUCACAGAUAUCGAUACAAAAAUACUGGUUUAGAUGCCCAAGAACUGAGGAGAAGACGAGAAGAAGAAGGUGUACAAUUGAGAAAACAGAAGCGUGAACAUGAGCUGUACAAACGAAGAAAUCUAAGUACACCUCCGGAUUCCGAUCAUGAUACAGAUGCACUAAAUGCUUUAAUGCAGGAUAAGGCAGAUGGAGCCUCACAGGUAUUGGAUAUGUAUUCUUGU
Molecule: long non-coding RNA, 504 nt
Organism: Limulus polyphemus (Atlantic horseshoe crab)
Lineage: Eukaryota; Metazoa; Arthropoda; Merostomata; Xiphosura; Limulidae
Exons: 3
Source: RefSeq, a predicted model, not a curated record